CAUUAGCUCUCCUGAGCGAAGCCAUGCGAUGCAUGCUUAGCUCAUUGGCUAAGCGAGUUGGAGUGUCUCAUUGCAUUGCAAAAAUAGUGAUGCCUCUCUAUGACCUACUCUUUACAGUUCUAAUAGCAUAACUCAUAUUUUUUUUUUGCCUAAACCUGCCUGCUUGGUUCAGUUAAUGGUUUACUCCAAGCACCAUGAGCACUUCGUUGAUUUGAAGUGGUCAUGGUGCCUGUAGUCUGUAUGUGUAACACUGCACAUAUUGAAAUUAAGCCCUUUGCUGCUGAAAGUAUAACUAUAGCAAUGUCAAAAUGGUGCCAUUAGUGAGCCUGGAAAUAUUAUUGCAUUUAUUAGCUGACAGCAGUCAGCUGACACUCUCAGCCAAUGAAUGGCUAGCGGGAUUGACUUCCAUCUUCGGCAGAGCUCUGCAUGAGACACCAAAUGCUCCACAUAGAGAUGUGAUUUGUCUUACAUGCGCACUAGCCUCCAAAUACUACCCUAUAAGAG
Pelobates cultripes (western spadefoot toad) is the source of this 504-nucleotide non-coding RNA. The record is from the annotation of a GenBank genome assembly. Lineage: Eukaryota; Metazoa; Chordata; Amphibia; Anura; Pelobatidae.